GAAGUCGGAAUCGCUAGUAAUCGCGAAUCAGAAUGUCGCGGUGAAUACGUUCCCGGGUCUUGUACACACCGCCCGUCACACCAUGGGAGUUGGAAGCGCCCGAAGUCUGUGACCUAACCGAAAGGGAGGAGCAGCCGAAGGUGAAGCCAGUGACUGGGGUGAAGUCGUAACAAGGUACC
This 179-nucleotide ribosomal RNA is filed under the name uncultured bacterium. Its description in RNAcentral is "partial 16S ribosomal RNA". It matches the Rfam family "Bacterial small subunit ribosomal RNA", at positions 1322 to 1500 of the family's 1533-position model. The record is from RNAcentral.